This 206-nucleotide long non-coding RNA is filed under the name Elaeis guineensis (African oil palm). RNAcentral describes it as "long non-coding RNA (EGUI_LNC065464)". Lineage: Eukaryota; Viridiplantae; Streptophyta; Magnoliopsida; Arecales; Arecaceae. The record is from RNAcentral.
UUUGGCCGACCAAAAAGAGAAGAGAGGAGGCUUUGGGCAUGAGCAAUUAUAGUCCUUGAGGCAUGGGUUAUUUCCUAGAAGAGUCUAGGGUUUUGUUGGUUGAGAAUUGCUCUCCAAUCUUCCUCUAUUUUUUCUUUGUUUUGUCUCUUAGAUUGUCUAUGAGAAGAAGCCUAGAUCAAGCAUCAAGAGGGAUCGCUGUGAGGGAG